CCUACGGGAGGCAGCAGUGGGGAAUAUUGGGCAAUGGAGGAAACUCUGACCCAGCGACGCCGCGUGCGGGAUGAAGGCCUUCGGGUUGUAAACCGCUUUCAGUAGGGAAGAAGCGAAAGUGACGGUACCUACAAAAGAAGCACCGGCUAACUAUGUGCCAGCAGCCGCGGUAAUACAUAGGGUGCAAGCGUUGUCCGGAAUUAUUGGGCGUAAAGAGCUCGUAGGUCGUUUGUUACGUCGGAUGUGAAAACCUGAGGCUCAACCUCAGGCCUGCAUUCGAUACGGGCAAACUAGAGUUUGGUAGGGGAGACUGGAAUUCCUGGUGUAGCGGUGGAAUGCGCAGAUAUCAGGAGGAACACCAAUGGCGAAGGCAGGUCUCUGGGCCAAUACUGACACUGAGGAGCGAAAGUCUGGGGAGCGAACAGGAUUAGAUACCCUGGUAGUCCAGACCGUAAACGGUGGGCACUAGUUGUGGGAACCUUCCACGGUUUCUGCGACGCAGCUAACGCAUUAAGUGCCCCGCCUGGGGAGUACGAUCGCAAGAUUAAAACUCAAAGGAAUUGACGGCUGAGACNGCGAGCGACACGAGGAGAG
Molecule: ribosomal RNA, 594 nt
Filed under: uncultured bacterium
Lineage: Bacteria
Description: bacterial SSU rRNA
Rfam family: Bacterial small subunit ribosomal RNA
Source: RNAcentral